RNAcentral lists this ribosomal RNA (459 nucleotides) under uncultured bacterium. RNAcentral describes it as "partial 16S ribosomal RNA". It matches the Rfam family "Bacterial small subunit ribosomal RNA", at positions 338 to 795 of the family's 1533-position model. The record is from RNAcentral.
CCUACGGGAGGCAGCAGUGAGGAAUAUUGGUCAAUGGUCGGGAGACUGAACCAGCCAAGCCGCGUGAGGGAUGAAGGUACAGAGUAUCGUAAACCUCUGUUGUCAGGGAACAAAGGCGGGGACGUGUCCCCGGAUGAGUGUACCUGAAGAAAAAGCAUCGGCGAACUCCGUGCCAGCAGCCGCGGUAAUACGGAGGAUGCGAGCGUUAUCCGGAUGUAUUGGGGGAAAAGGGUGCGUAGGCGGAAAGCCAAGUCAGCGGUAAAAUCGCGGGGCUCAACUUCGGUCCGCCGUUGAAACUGGCGUUCUUGAGUGGGCGAGAGGUAGGCGGAAUGCGUGGUGUAGCGGUGAAAUGCAUAGAUAUCACGCAGAACUCCGAUUGCGAAGGCAGCAUACCGGCGCCCAACUGACGCUGAAGCACGAAAGCGUGGGUAUCGAACAGGAUUAGAUACCCCAGUAGUC